UGAAGCCUGUACUCCUUUAGUAACAAAAUACAAUUGUUAAUUUUUAAAAAUGAUAUAGUUUUGUUUUUAACAACAUGGUGGUUCUGUCCUGAAUUUGCAAAUUCUUCUUUUCCUACAGACUCUUGGCAAUGGAGCAGACCUUCUGGAGAAACUUGGAAUGAGCAAUGAGCAGACUUUAGAAUUAAGGCAGUGAGCACACGGAAUAUAUUUGUUCAGAGUGAAUAUAUCCAGAAAACUUAUAAGACGAAAACUGCACAAGUUACUGGGUGUCUGAAGAUGUCAGGAGGCAACAUGGAAUUUUUAAUGUGCUGGAAUGUAAAAGAACCACUUGCUGAGAGUAAGUAAGCCCUGUAAUAUCCACCCCAUGCCAGAGCUAACUUCUGAGAGUAAAGUACUUGUGUUCAUGAGAAGCAUAACAUGGGUGAAAAUUAACUAAAACCAUGGAAUCUUCAUAUGAAAUAGUGUUACCAUGAGCAAAUGAUGAAAGAAUUCUCUAAUGUGUAACCACUAGGACAGUUCUGCCAGCAGUUAUGGAAGAG
Molecule: long non-coding RNA, 539 nt
Filed under: Papio anubis (olive baboon)
Lineage: Eukaryota; Metazoa; Chordata; Mammalia; Primates; Cercopithecidae
Description: lncRNA (ENSPANG00000043982.1)
Source: RNAcentral